Molecule: long non-coding RNA, 859 nt
Organism: Ctenopharyngodon idella (grass carp)
Lineage: Eukaryota; Metazoa; Chordata; Actinopteri; Cypriniformes; Xenocyprididae
Exons: 3
Source: RefSeq, a predicted model, not a curated record
UCCGUUAUUGCAUCACGCAACCCUCGCGUUCUGCUCUGCGCUUUUUUUUUUAAACCAUUCCUGAGUGCUGCGUCUCACGUUUUUAGACUCAAAGACGUUCUGUGUGAACGAGCUCUUACUACUUCCUGAAGUGUGCAUCUGAUGGACGCUACUAUCCCAUGAGGCCGCGGGAGAGGAGUUGUGAAUGGCAGUGGAGCGACACAACUGACGCUCUAGGUCACGACAAUGUCAACAUGAUGGAUUAAGGGUCUCGACAGCACGGCUGUGGCGCUGGCUGCUGCUUGACAUGAACCCUGGAUGAUAUUGUCCAGCACCACGGGACUGUUAAUCUACUGGCUGCCGAAAAAUGGGCUUGUGUAUAAAACCUGUGAAAUAAAUAGUGUGACAUCUGACAGGAUGCAAGCGACUUUGAAUGCUUUCGGGUUUCUGAAGAGCAAAGACUUUUGAAGAAUUGAGAUUUACACAGGCUGCCCACUAUAUGAAUAAAAUGAACAACAUUCAUACAAAUGUUCGAGGGUAAACACAUAAACUGCACAUCUGAAGAGACGUGGCAGGGGCAAAAGGGAUCUCUGAUUAAUUAUGCAGCUUGUAUCAAGCAUGUAGCAGAAAUGAAAAAAUAUGAGAGGAGUGAACACAGACUGUCAGACUCAAUACAUCUCUGCUCUAGUGCCUGUUUUUACAUUUAUUCAUAGAGGAAAGACAUAAGGGUCAUUCUACACUAAUACAUGUGCCAUCCCUUUACAACAUCUCCUUACUGUAUCAACAAAUGUGCACAUCAUUUUGAUACUAUAUAUAUUUUAUAUUCUAUACUAUAUUUUUAGAUUUUAGUUAGAAUAAUAUAUUAUUAGAAGGACUAAAA